UACGUUGAUUAUGUAAGCACUUUAUAACUACAGAGUGUUGCAUACCAGCUCCUUUUCCCCGCAUCAGAAUCAGCCAGAAACACAUUCAUGGAGUUAAGAUAGUCAAAAGAAUGUCAACACGGGAGCUAGAACAAUGUCAAUAAAAGGUCUAAGCUCUAAGCAUAACUCCAAACUACUGAAAUGUGAAUUAGUGAAUAACACAAGAACCAUGAUUUCUAAUGAGGUAAAUCCAAUUAUAUUUCAAAAUGAAACACCCCCACCUGACCAAACACAUUGUGAUGAGAUGACAGCAGCUCUCAACAUUCAGUUGUCUACAACAUAAAUAGGUGGAUGCUGCGGGCUUCUGUUGCUUCCUCAUAAGCCUUAGAUGUGUUUAUUGGUGUUGUUUUUUGGGUGCUUAAGAUCUCCAGUGAGUGGAGAAAGUGUGUGUACAGGAUGCUCUGCAGGACCUAUAAUCCAUUCCCAGCAGUCAGUCAGUGUUUUUCCACCAGUCAAUAAGUAUUGCUGUUAGUACACCUGGCGUGACAUACUUUGUGUGGAUGUGCAAACAUAACAAAGGCACAGAAUUAGCUUCAGAACAAGUAGUGAUCUUGUCUAGGAUACAUCUCAGACUUUGCAUUUUAAAAGAUUUUCAUUUGUGUUCUGGCAGGUUUAGUGCAGUCAGAAAUAAAGGUAUGUGUUAUGUUUAGUUUAUGUGUUCCACCUUAAGAAAGAAAGAGAUGUUCCACCUUAACAAAGAAAUGUCAUUGUUGAUAAAGUUUGUUCAAGUUAGUGAGGUCACUUCCUGAAAAGGUUAAGAAGAGAAGGCUAAGAGAGACACAUGGUUCAGAGGUUCUUAUCAUCCAAUGCCAUCUGCAUUUAAGAUAGACAAACAAAUGUCUUUUUACUCCCUGUUCACUGAAAGAGUCCAGUAAAACGACUAAACUUUACUUCGACGACUCAUCUGAUUCUUUGAAAGGAGUUAAGCUUGGUGUUAAGUCUACGGAUUUGCAUGUCCUGACGAGAGCACUACAGUAUGGAAUUAUCUUAUUAUUAUUUAAAGUUUCACCACUGUUUUUAUUGUUUGUCAAUAAAUAAUCUGCACUAACAUAUUUACAUUAAA
Long non-coding RNA from Oryzias melastigma (Indian medaka), 1102 nucleotides. RefSeq lists it as uncharacterized. The record is from RefSeq and is a predicted model, not a curated record. NCBI's taxonomy places the organism in Eukaryota, Metazoa, Chordata, Actinopteri, Beloniformes, Adrianichthyidae. The transcript is spliced from 2 exons.